Oryzias melastigma (Indian medaka) is the source of this 1941-nucleotide long non-coding RNA. RefSeq lists it as uncharacterized. The transcript is spliced from 2 exons. NCBI's taxonomy places the organism in Eukaryota, Metazoa, Chordata, Actinopteri, Beloniformes, Adrianichthyidae. The record is from RefSeq and is a predicted model, not a curated record.
CAAGGAAGCGCUGCCUUCGCUCAUCUGGAUCAUCGUCUGCUGUCCGCCGUCGACGCCCACCUGUGGGCUGUGCUGGAGAUACCUGGAGAGAAGAGGGCAUGGGUUCAGCAUGAAACAAGAGGCAGAAGAGGAGGAGGGGGGUCUUGGUUGCUGUCUGACAUCCCCGAUAGCGAUUCGGGGCUUCCUGGAGGCGAGGAAUCAACCUCCACAGGCUCCUCCUCCUUCACCUUCACAUCUGAUGGCGUCUGCAGGCUCAUGUCCAAAGCCACAGAGUUGGCAGCUGGAAGCUGGACAGAGACGACAAAAUAAAAGCUUUUAACAAAACAAACUGCCAUUUAUCCGGGUAGCACAACAGCCCCCAUAUUUAUUUCAACACUCAGUUAUUUUAAUAAAGUCAUUUUGACAAGUUGCAGCAAUUGUUGAAAUUCUCAUCUGGUAUUAGGUGUGCAAGGCAGGAAUUUCAAGCACUAUUUUUUAUUGUAUUUAAUCAGCACUUCGGGUGAGAAAAGGAGGAAGUAAGAAAAGUCACAUCUACAGAGCAAAAGCUGAAAACUUCCCUGGUUUCUGAACACAUUUAUACAUAGAAAUAUGCUUAUGAACACAAUGUUAUCACCCCAACCCCCCCUCGAGCUUUCUUACAGAGUUCUUUGCCCUCUUUUCGUCAUCGUCUUGGUCAAAAGAGCUGGCCAACUCAUUAAACAGACCAACUUCCUCACAGUUCUUAAGGAAGCGAGUGGGUGUAGGUGUCUGGUCUGAGGAGAACAAAGCCAUGACAACAAGAAGAUGAAAAUCUAAAGCCACGCUUUUGCACUUUUUUCACACUUUGCAUUCAGAAUAGAAAGAGCCAUGUAGCUGAUGCUAAAGUACGAUAGGAGGGAGCAUCCAACAGCAUGGCGGACGGAGCAGUACCUGCUAUAAUGACAGAGUCUGUCCUGGGUGGUCCAAAUUUUAAUGUCAUCUCAUGUUUGUGUUUGUGUACUGCCAAAUGGUCCUCGUUGGUGAACCUCUGGAGAAAAACAACAAGAAAAUAAAGAACAAGUUAUUAUUUAGACAGCAGGUACAAUGCAUUAAUGAGAAAUGAAUGUAGUACAGAAGUCAUAAUUAACAAAAUAAAACAAAAAAACUGCAAAAAAAAGUUUCUUAAUUAGCAUUAAAUCAAAAUAUAAUGAAUAUUGGAUCUCAAAUGAGGUAACUCAGAAAAACCUUCAAAGCAAAAAGUAUGCCUUCCUGUUGUGCAUAUAACAAAAGGAUGUUGUACAAUGCAGAUUUGCUUUAAUCUAUAAUGUGAGAGUCAAAACAACUUUUGAAAAGACUAAAGGAAAUGUUUUUUUUUUAAAAAAAAGGCCCAGAUCGCCAUUUUUCUGAGACAUUUUCAGUGAGAAGCUAAAUUGUGAUUUACUCAGAGACAUAGCGGCUAUAAGCACAACACCAUUCACAGCAGCCUAUUUUAGUCAGGAGAGUGAAGUGGAAACAGUCAAGUGUCAGGAGCCUUAUUUUUAGCGUUGGCAAAAAAAAAAAUACAACUACAUGUGGCAUCCGUCUCUUUCCUCAGAUCAAGGCAACUAGAUCUUGUGAGGGAAACUAUCUCCAACUAAUCUCCCCUUCUCAGAUAAUGGUAGCUAGGAUUACACAACCACAAACGGUAAAUACUGGCCAUCGUGUUUAUGUUGUUGAUGUUGACUUGGUAAAAGGAAAAUCCCGGGCAAAGUCAAUCAUUCCGUUCUAUUGUGGGCUUUAAUUGCUCUUCUGGUAGGCAACCGUUGCUUUUAAAGGGCGGCAGGAAAAACUCAAUAAAUUAAUAAGUAAAUAUUUUUGAAUUGGUACCAGAAAUCAAAUACAUCAUUUUGAAUAGAAUAAUAUUAUAAAUUCCUCCAACUACAAAACACAUUUAUAAAGUUUUGCUUUCAUGCUAUUUAUGUCCAAUUAUUAAAAGAAAAAAAA